GCUAUGUGUGGCAGGGAUAAACGCUGAAAGCAUCUAAGCGUGAAGCCCCCCUCAAGAUGAGAUUUCCCAUUUCUUCGGAAAGUAAGAUCCCUGAAAGAUGAUCAGGUAGAUAGGUUUGGAGUGGAAGUGUAGCGAUACAUGGAGCGGACAAAUACUAAUCGAUCGAGGACUUAACCAAAA
RNAcentral lists this ribosomal RNA (180 nucleotides) under Listeria monocytogenes. RNAcentral's name for it is "partial 23S ribosomal RNA". It matches the Rfam family "Bacterial large subunit ribosomal RNA", at positions 2748 to 2925 of the family's 2925-position model. The record is from RNAcentral. Lineage: Bacteria; Bacillati; Bacillota; Bacilli; Caryophanales; Listeriaceae.